Long non-coding RNA from Aphis gossypii (cotton aphid), 413 nucleotides. RefSeq lists it as uncharacterized. Lineage: Eukaryota; Metazoa; Arthropoda; Insecta; Hemiptera; Aphididae. The record is from RefSeq and is a predicted model, not a curated record. The transcript is spliced from 3 exons.
AGAUUCUAUUGGAAAUAAUACAUUUUUUAGGUUAUAAAUUCAAGGAAUCUUGGAAAAUUCCAGAAAAAAAUGGACUUAAUGGUGAUUUUAUUGGAUAUAAUACAUUAUUUAGGUUAUAAAUUCAAGGAAUCUUGGAAAAUUCCAGAAAAAAAUGGACUUAAUGGUGAUUUUAUUGGAUAUAAUACAUAAUUUAGGUUAUAAAUUCAAGGAAUCUUGGAAAAUUCCAGAAAAAAAUGGACUUAAUGGUGAUUUUAUUGGAUAUAAUACAUAAUUUAGGUUAUAAAUUCAAGGAAUCUUGGAAAAUUCCAGAAAAAAAUGGACUUAAUGGUGAUUUUAUUUGAUAUAAUACAUAUUUGAAGUUAUAAAUGUUAGGAAUAUUGGAAAAUUAUAGGAAUAUAUUGAAUUUUACGAAG